CUUGUACACACCGCCCGUCACACCAUGGGGAGCGGGUUCUGCCAGAAGUAGUUAGCCUAACCGCAAGGAGGGCGAUUACCACGGCAGGGUUCGUGACUGGGGUG
RNAcentral lists this ribosomal RNA (104 nucleotides) under uncultured bacterium. Its description in RNAcentral is "partial 16S ribosomal RNA". It matches the Rfam family "Bacterial small subunit ribosomal RNA", at positions 1380 to 1482 of the family's 1533-position model. The record is from RNAcentral.